Non-coding RNA from Mycena galopus ATCC 62051, 93 nucleotides. Lineage: Eukaryota; Fungi; Basidiomycota; Agaricomycetes; Agaricales; Mycenaceae. The record is from the annotation of a GenBank genome assembly.
GCUUUCGUGGUGUAGCGGUAACAUUGGGUCUUCCCAUAAGUGAAAGUUAUCUGUGAUAUGGCCUAGCUCCGGGUUCGACUCCCGGCGGACGCA